RNAcentral lists this ribosomal RNA (494 nucleotides) under uncultured bacterium. Its description in RNAcentral is "partial 16S ribosomal RNA". It matches the Rfam family "Bacterial small subunit ribosomal RNA", at positions 28 to 507 of the family's 1533-position model. The record is from RNAcentral.
GACGAACGCUGGCGGCGUGCUUAACACAUGCAAGUCGAACGGUGAAGCGCCUUCCUUUUUGGUGGGUGUGGAUGAGUGGCGAACGGGUGAGUAACACGUGAGUAACCUGCCCCCUUCUUCUGGAUAACCGCAUGAAAGUGUGGCUAAUACGGGAUAUUCUGGGUCUGUCGCAUGAUGGGUCUGGGAAAGAUAUUGUUUCGGUGGGGGAUGGGCUCGCGGCCUAUCAGCUUGUUGGUGGGGUGAUGGCCUACCAAGGCGGUGACGGGUAGCCGACCUGGGGGGGUGGACGGUCACACUGGGACUGAGACACGGCCCAGACUCCUACGGGAGGCAGCAGUGGGGAAUAUUGCACAGUGGGCGCAAGCCUGAUGCAGCGACGCCGCGUGAGGGAUGGAGGCCUUCGGGUUGUGAACCUCUUUCGCCAGUGAAGCAGGCCUGCCUCGUUUGUGGGUGGGUUGACGGUAGCUGGAUAAGAAGCGCCGGCUAACUACGUG